Molecule: long non-coding RNA, 403 nt
Filed under: Androctonus crassicauda
Lineage: Eukaryota; Metazoa; Arthropoda; Arachnida; Scorpiones; Buthidae
Source: RNAcentral
AUCGACAGUAGCAAAAUGAAGAUAACAUUGUUACUCCUGUUUGUUUUUGCCUUUGCAGUUAUGCUUAUAAAAUCAGAUACCAGUGAAGAACGAAGCAGUAGUGAUGAAAGUAGAAGUUAUGAACGAAGUAGAAGUGAUGAACGAAGUAGAAGUGAUGAACGAAGUAGAAGUGAUGAACGAAGUAGAAGUGAUCGAAGUAGAAGUGAUGAAAGCGGAAGUUAUGAAGAUAGAAGAAAGAAAUAGGUUAUUAAGUCUUUAACAAAUAUGAAAAUGCAAGUUAAAAACAUGAAAGCUUUAACAGAAAUAGGGAAUAUUAAAAUUAAAAAAAAUAAAUUGGAAUUGGGUUAAUCGCAUUUUUAACAUACUGUAUAUUAAAUGAAAUAAAAUAAUUAUGAAUUCAAGC